ACUGAGACACGGCCCAGACUCCUACGGGAGGCAGCAGUAGGGAAUCUUCCGCAAUGGACGAAAGUCUGACGGAGCAACGCCGCGUGAGUGAUGAAGGUUUUCGGAUCGUAAAGCUCUGUUGUUAGGGAAGAACAAGUGCAAGAGUAACUGCUUGCACCUUGACGGUACCUAACCAGAAAGCCACGGCUAACUACGUGCCAGCAGCCGCGGUAAUACGUAGGUGGCAAGCGUUGUCCGGAAUUAUUGGGCGUAAAGGGCUCGCAGGCGGUUUCUUAAGUCUGAUGUGAAAGCCCCCGGCUCAACCGGGGAGGGUCAUUGGAAACUGGGAAACUUGAGUGCAGAAGAGGAGAGUGGAAUUCCACGUGUAGCGGUGAAAUGCGUAGAGAUGUGGAGGAACACCAGUGGCGAAGGCGACUCUCUGGUCUGUAACUGACGCUGAGGAGCGAAAGCGUGGGGAGCGAACAGGAUUAGAUACCCUGGUAGUCCACGCCGUAAACGAUGAGUGCUAAGUGUUAGGGGGUUUCCGCCCCUUAGUGCUGCAGCUAACGCAUUAAGCACUCCGCCUGGGGAGUACGGUCGCAAGACUGAAACUCAAAGGAAUUGACGGGGGCCCGCACAAGCGGUGGAGCAUGUGGUUUAAUUCGAAGCAACGCGAAGAACCUUACCAGGUCUUGACAUCCUCUGACAACCCUAGAGAUAGGGCUUUCCCUUCGGGGACAGAGUGACAGGUGGUGCAUGGUUGUCGUCAGCUCGUGUCCUGAGAUGUUGGGUUAAGUCCCGCAACGAGCGCAACCCUUGAUCUUAGUUGCCAGCAUUCAAUUUGGGCACUCUAAGGUGACUGCCGGUGACAAACCCGGAGGAAGGUGGGGGAUGACGUCCAA
Molecule: ribosomal RNA, 881 nt
Filed under: Bacillus sp. Sb28(2012)
Lineage: Bacteria; Bacillati; Bacillota; Bacilli; Caryophanales; Bacillaceae
Description: bacterial SSU rRNA
Rfam family: Bacterial small subunit ribosomal RNA
Source: RNAcentral